RNAcentral lists this long non-coding RNA (2095 nucleotides) under Fragaria vesca (wild strawberry). Its description in RNAcentral is "long non-coding RNA (FVES_LNC002285)". The record is from RNAcentral. Lineage: Eukaryota; Viridiplantae; Streptophyta; Magnoliopsida; Rosales; Rosaceae.
AAAAAAAUUCAUAACUUUACCAUGCUUACUCCGAUUUUAACGCAUAGCAUGUCUACGAACUCGUAACGACGUGCUCUACAACUUUCAUGAAGAAAGUUUUCUCACAAUAAUUUUCCUACAAAAAGUCAACCCUAUGGUCCUUAAGGGUAACUAGUUACUCAUCACGGUAAAAAUCCGAAGUAAUACCAACGGUAAAUAACCGUAAAAUAACUUAAGAACCGGGAUGUGUCAGAAUGAGAUUGAUAGAAUAAAUACAUUUUGUGUAGUUGAGUUUCCUCAUGGGUUGUUCAAGAUCCAGGCUAGCCCACACGUGCAUAAAUUCAGGGAAAGUAUGCCAUUUCGAUGGCGGAAAUCGACAAAACGAUCUUAUCGGGUUUCGGGUUUGGAGACCAUGAGUAUAACAAGAUGACUAACAAAAGAGGUACUGGUGGUGAGAUAUUACUGAUUGUUAGAUCAUAUAUUCGAGACAUUUGAGUCACCCCUGGUUGGUAAAAUACACGAUAUGGGACGUGUAGACUCACCUGUCUUUGAUGUAUGGACUGAUAGCCAGUAAUUAAGGAAGACAUUCAUUAGCAUUUAUGCAUCGAUCAUUGUUGUUAUUUACGUAAAGUUUGUUUGAUAUUUGUUAACUUGUUUGUGUGACGUAGUUAAGUAACCUAAAAAGGUUAGGCCCUAAGUUUCCUUGAGCAUUUUGAUGCAAGCAUGGCUCAAGGAAGGUUUUGGAGAGCACGUGAGCAUUCUAGAAGCAUCAGGAAUAUUAUGGAAGGUCUUGGAAGCAUCCGGAAUAUUAUGAAAGGUCUUGGAAGCUUCCGGAAGGAUCGGGAAGCAUUCGGACAACUCUAGAACUCUCUAGAACCUUAGAGAGUCUCUAAGACACUCCGGAACUCUCUAGAACCUUAGAGAGGCUUAAGGGUCAAGACUACUCCGGAAGUCUCUAAAAUACUCAAGGUAACACUUAAAGUUGUAUAGAAAACUCUAAAACUCUAGAAAUCUCUAUACUUGUAUAUGUCUUAGAAUUAUCUAGAAACUUAGGCAAGGGGGGAGGAUGCCUAUAAAUAGGGAAACACCCUUCUCAUUUGAGGCAUAAAGAGUUGGAUAGCAUUCAAGCUCACUUGUAAAGCUUUGUAAAGUUCUCUUAAGCUUAAUACAAGUUUUCUCUUUCAAAGAUCUUCUCCCUUCGUUCGGGUGUUCUAGCCAAAGUGUUUGCGUGAGUAAGGCUGUUUUAGCAUAAGAGAAGUGUUAAGGCCACACGAGAAGCUUAGGAAAAAGGAAGCUCGUGAUAGUAAGCUCACCCCUAUAGAUUCUUGUUCAGGUGUCUACGAGGACACGUAUUUCUAGAAGGCUAACAGUGACGCGUGGCUGACGUAUGCGAGAGUAGAAAGGGGUUACGGAAGAUUAGAAGUGAAAUAGAUCCGCAAGUCCCUAUUUUGUUUUUGUAAUUGAUUUUGUUAUUUGUAAACGUUUUAUUUUAUUUUAUUUCGAGAAAAGUAUUUGAAAUUAUUAUAUUUUCUUUUACUUUUCCCGCUCACGCCUCAGGUUCGGCGUCAAGUGCUUGAAAACCACCGACACCGGGUCCGGGGUGUGAUAGUUACUGGGGUCAGUAACUGAUUACUGGAUGUUAAUAACUGGUCAGUAAUUGAUUACUGGGAGUCAGUAACUGGUUAUUGAGUGUCAUUGGGGGUCAGUAACUAGUUAUAAGGGAAAUUCCGAUGACCGAAGUCCGACGGCUGGUGACCGGAGUCCGGUGAGAUUCCGGCCAAGUAUUCUCUUUUUUAUUUUUUUUCUCUCUCUCUCUAUGCAUGUUUAAGUGAUGAGGACAAAAUAGUCUUAAAAUAAUAUGGUUUGUUAAUACUUUAGUAAAGAUUUAUGUAUUUAGACAUAAAGAUUUGUGCAUUUAGGUAUAAAAAAGUUACCUUAUAUUAAAAUGGGUUAAUGAAAAAAAUUAUCAGUGGAAUGAAAAAUAAGAGAUUUAAAAGUAGUACUAAAUGGACAUUUUGCAUAGAAAUAAUUCUGGCUGUGUUGUUCAUAUUCUCGAAAUUGAUAAGCUCAAUCACCAAAAAGAAUGCAUGAAAGAACAAUAACAAUCACCAAAAAG